RNAcentral lists this ribosomal RNA (253 nucleotides) under uncultured bacterium. Its description in RNAcentral is "partial 16S ribosomal RNA". It matches the Rfam family "Bacterial small subunit ribosomal RNA", at positions 524 to 776 of the family's 1533-position model. The record is from RNAcentral.
UACGGAGGGGGCUAGCGUUGUUCGGACUUACUGGGCGUAAAGCGCACGUAGGCGGCUUUGUAAGUUAGAGGUGAAAGCCCGGGGCUCAACUCCGGAAUUGCCUUUAAGACUGCAUCGCUAGAAUUGUGGAGAGGUAAGUGGAAUUCCGAGUGUAGAGGUGAAAUUCGUAGAUAUUCGGAAGAACACCAGUGGCGAAGGCGACUUACUGGACACAUAUUGACGCUGAGGUGCGAAAGCGUGGGGAGCAAACAGG